GGGGUUGUAGCUCAGUGGUAGAGUGCUCUUCUGUCAUGUGUGAGGUACUAGGUUCGAUUCUAAGCACCACA
RNAcentral lists this transfer RNA (71 nucleotides) under Marmota monax (woodchuck). Its description in RNAcentral is "tRNA.Asp". Lineage: Eukaryota; Metazoa; Chordata; Mammalia; Rodentia; Sciuridae. The record is from RNAcentral.